Molecule: microRNA precursor, 122 nt
Filed under: Panax ginseng (ginseng)
Lineage: Eukaryota; Viridiplantae; Streptophyta; Magnoliopsida; Apiales; Araliaceae
Description: MIR6135 microRNA precursor family
Rfam family: MIR6135 microRNA precursor family
Source: Rfam by way of RNAcentral
AUUAAGUUCAUUUUUACGUAAGUUGGUCAAUUGGCCAAUAGAGUGCUGACACGCAAGCGAGACUCUAUGUAUAUCAAUAUUCUAUUGAUCAAUUGACCAAUUUAUCAAAAAAUAAACUUCAU